GGCAGGCCUAACACAUGCAAGUCGAGCGCACCUUCGGGUGAGCGGCGGACGGGUUAGUAACGCGUGGGAACGUACCCUUUUCUACGGAAUAGCCUUUGGAAACGAAGAGUAAUACCGUAUACGCCCUUUGGGGGAAAGAUUUAUCGGAGAAGGAUCGGCCCGCGUUAGAUUAGAUAGUUGGUGGGGUAACGGCCUACCAAGUCUACGAUCUAUAGCUGGUUUUAGAGGAUGAUCAGCAACACUGGGACUGAGACACGGCCCAGACUCCUACGGGAGGCAGCAGUGGGGAAUCUUAGACAAUGGGCGCAAGCCUGAUCUAGCCAUGCCGCGUGAGUGAUGAAGGCCUUAGGGUCGUAAAGCUCUUUCGCCUGUGAUGAUAAUGACAGUAGCAGGUAAAGAAACCCCGGCUAACUCCGUGCCAGCAGCCGCGGUAAUACGGAGGGGGUUAGCGUUGUUCGGAAUUACUGGGCGUAAAGCGCACGUAGGCGGAUUGGAAAGUUGGGGGUGAAAUCCCGGGGCUCAACCCCGGAACUGCCUCCAAAACUAUCAGUCUAGAGUUCGAGAGAGGUGAGUGGAAUUCCAAGUGUAGAGGUGAAAUUCGUAGAUAUUUGGAGGAACACCAGUGGCGAAGGCGGCUCACUGGCUCGAUACUGA
Molecule: ribosomal RNA, 654 nt
Filed under: alpha proteobacterium IMCC15279
Lineage: Bacteria; Pseudomonadati; Pseudomonadota; Alphaproteobacteria
Description: bacterial SSU rRNA
Rfam family: Bacterial small subunit ribosomal RNA
Source: RNAcentral